Molecule: long non-coding RNA, 526 nt
Organism: Mauremys reevesii (Reeves's turtle)
Lineage: Eukaryota; Metazoa; Chordata; Testudines; Geoemydidae
Exons: 3
Source: RefSeq, a predicted model, not a curated record
GGCAAGGGCUCAAAUGGGGGAAUGCCCAGGAGGUGCAGCUGAAGGGGGAAUCCCCUUCCCCAAGGCGGCGGCAGCAGCACCCCCGGUUACUCACCCGGGUUGAAGAGCACAGUCCCCUUGAGAUCAGACACCGUAGUAACAUCAUGGAUGCUGAAACUAACUAGCAGGACAUUAAAACAGUAGCUCUAAUUCUGCAAAUUCUCCUGUCCAGGAAAGACCUGGUGUAACCAAGGACAUAAUUUGGCCUGCAGACCCCUGUGAGUGGGGAUGGUAUAUGGAUGGGAAGAAACUGGCUUGUCUGUUGGAUACUGGCUUGUCUGUCUGGAGGUGGCAGUUUGAAAAAACAUUUUUACUUGCAAACUUGAGAAGAAAGUUAUAUGAAGAUAGUGAGACACAAUGAAUAUGGACCCCCAAGAUGUCAUGGCUGCAGAGACACAUUUGAGAGUAGAGCACAUUGUAAGUAGUGGGCCACAAUAUGAAAAGUGUGAGAACUGCUGCUUUUUUAUUAAUAAACUCUUGAAAGUUA